UGGGGAAUAUUGCACAAUGGGCGAAAGCCUGAUGCAGCAACGCCGCGUGAGCGAUGAAGGCCUUCGGGUCGUAAAGCUCUGUCCUCAAGGAAGAUAAUGACGGUACUUGAGGAGGAAGCCCCGGCUAACUACGUGCCAGCAGCCGCGGUAAUACGUAGGGGGCUAGCGUUAUCCGGAUUUACUGGGCGUAAAGGGUGCGUAGGCGGUCUUUUAAGUCAGGAGUGAAAGGCUACGGCUCAACCGUAGUAAGCUCUUGAAACUGGAGGACUUGAGUGCAGGAGAGGAGAGUGGAAUUCCUAGUGUAGCGGUGAUAUGCGUAGAUAUUAGGAGGAGCACCAGUAGCGAAGGCGGCUCUCUGGACUGUAACUGACGCUGGGGCACGAGAGCGUGGGGAGCAAACG
Molecule: ribosomal RNA, 401 nt
Filed under: uncultured prokaryote
Description: bacterial SSU rRNA
Rfam family: Bacterial small subunit ribosomal RNA
Source: RNAcentral